RNAcentral lists this ribosomal RNA (117 nucleotides) under Pteropus alecto (black flying fox). Lineage: Eukaryota; Metazoa; Chordata; Mammalia; Chiroptera; Pteropodidae. The record is from RNAcentral.
GUCUACAGCCAUGCUACCCUGAACAAGCCUGAUCCUGUCUGAUCGGAAGCUAAGCAGGGUCAGGCUUGGUUAGUACUUUGAUGGGAGACCACCUAGGAAGACCAGGUGCUGUAGGCG